Molecule: ribosomal RNA, 249 nt
Filed under: uncultured bacterium
Lineage: Bacteria
Description: partial 16S ribosomal RNA
Rfam family: Bacterial small subunit ribosomal RNA
Source: RNAcentral
GAUUAUGGCUCAGGAUGAACGCUAGCUACAGGCUUAACACAUGCAAGUCGAGGGGAAACGACAUCGAAAGCUUGCUUUUGAUGGGCGUCGACCGGCGCACGGGUGAGUAACGCGUAUCCAACCUGCCCAUCACUUGGGAAUAACCUUGCGAAAGUAAGACUAAUACCCAAUGAUAUCCCACGAAGGCAUCCGAAUGGGAUUAAAGAUUUAUCGGUGUACGAUGGGGAUGCGUUCCAUUAGGUAGUAGGG